RNAcentral lists this ribosomal RNA (484 nucleotides) under uncultured bacterium. RNAcentral's name for it is "partial 16S ribosomal RNA". It matches the Rfam family "Bacterial small subunit ribosomal RNA", at positions 28 to 523 of the family's 1533-position model. The record is from RNAcentral.
GAUGAACGCUGGCGGCGUGCUUAACACAUGCAAGUCGAACGGUGAAGCAGGAGCUUGCUCUUGUGGAUCAGUGGCGAACGGGUGAGUAACACGUGAGCAACCUGCCCCUGACUAUGGGAUAAGCGCUGGAAACGGCGUCUAAUACUGGAUAUGUGAUGUGACCGCAUGGUCUGCAUCUGGAAAGAAUUUCGGUUGAGGAUGGGCUCGCGGCCUAUCAGCUUGUUGGUGAGGUAAUGGCUCACCAAGGCGUCGACGGGUAGCCGGCCUGAGAGGGUGACCGGCCACACUGGGACUGAGACACGGCCCAGACUCCUACGGGAGGCAGCAGUGGGGAAUAUUGCACAAUGGGCGGAAGCCUGAUGCAGCAACGCCGCGUGAGGGAUGACGGCCUUCGGGUUGUAAACCUCUUUUAGCAGGGAAGAAGCGAAAGUGACGGUACCUGCAGAAAAAGCACCGGCUAACUACGUGCCAGCCGCCGCGGUAA